CCGGGUGGCCAUAGAGCGGAGGACACACCUGUUCCCAUUCCGAACACAGCAGUUAAGCUCCGCAUCGGCUGAGGUAGUUGCACCGCAGGGUGCCGCGAGAAAGGCGCGUUGCCCGGU
Molecule: ribosomal RNA, 117 nt
Filed under: Armatimonadota bacterium
Lineage: Bacteria; Bacillati; Armatimonadota
Source: RNAcentral